Balaenoptera musculus (blue whale) is the source of this 149-nucleotide long non-coding RNA. RefSeq lists it as uncharacterized. The record is from RefSeq and is a predicted model, not a curated record. The transcript has 3 exons. NCBI's taxonomy places the organism in Eukaryota, Metazoa, Chordata, Mammalia, Artiodactyla, Balaenopteridae.
CAAACGUAUAAUAUGGUAGAGGACAUCCAUUCAACCAUUCCAAGUUUGUAGUAGUAAGUUCUACUGCUAGGACUUCUCGUUUGGAUGUGAAUGCCUCUCAGAUAAUGAAAAUUAUCAAUAUGACAACCCUCUGGUUCUUCAAAUGUCUG